CCUACGGGUGGCAGCAGUGGGGAAUAUUGCACAAUGGGGGAAACCCUGAUGCAGCGACGCCGCGUGAGUGAAGAAGUAUUUCGGUUUGUAAAGCUCUUUCAUCAGGGAAGAAAAUGACGGUACCUGAUGAAGAAGCACCGGCUAACUACGUGCCAGCAGCCGCGGGAAUACGUAGGGGGCAAGCGUUAUCCGGAUUUACUGGGUGUAAAGGGAGCGUAGGCGGGAGCACAAGUCAGGAGUGAAAUGCCGGGGCUUAACCCGGGAACUGCAUUGGAAACUGUGCAGCUAGAGUGCAGGAGAGGUAAGUGGAAUUCCUAGUGUAGCGGUGAAAGGCGUAGAUAUUAGGAGGAACACCAGUGGCGAAGGCGGAUUACUGGACUGUAACUGACGUUGAGGCUCGAAAGCGUGGGGAGCAAACAGGAUUAGAUACCCCGGUAGUC
This 440-nucleotide ribosomal RNA is filed under the name uncultured bacterium. Its description in RNAcentral is "partial 16S ribosomal RNA". It matches the Rfam family "Bacterial small subunit ribosomal RNA", at positions 338 to 795 of the family's 1533-position model. The record is from RNAcentral.